GAAACCGUUUAGGGGUAAACCUGAGAAACCCGAAAGGUCGAAGGAAGAAAUUCAAUCGUGCUCGAUAGGGUUAUGAUGCGGUUAUGGUGUCGAAAAAUGAAUUCGUUCAUUUUUUGCCCUACCGUAUGAUAUAUGUACCUUGUUGAACGCGUGCACUUUUCUUCUGGUAGGACGUCGCGAUCCGUUGGGUGUUGAUCUACGGUUCAGAUGGUAGCCCGUUUUAWUUGUUCCUUCCAGAUCAUUUAGAACGGACCUUUGAUACCCGAUCAACUGGCUCGACGGUAUAAUUGUGAUGGUUUUAGGCCGCUCUUUUUGGAGCGUUCGGCUUGUAGCAAGCACGUCAAAUGUUUUGGUACAUCGGACCUAGUGCCGUGUCCAAUCCUUGAUGUCUGUUGGCUGCUUUGUCUCGAACAGACCGUAUAAACCGAUCAGCGACGAUAUAGCUUUGGGUAAUUUCAGGACCCGUCUUGAAACACGGACCAAGGAGUCUAGCAUGUACGCAAGUCAUUGGGAAUCACAAAACCUAAAGGCGCAAUGAAAGUAAACGUUUUCCUUUACGGUUAACGAUGGGAAGACGGGUGUUUUGACUUUACAGUCGGCAUUCAGCAUUCCCGGGGCGUCUCAUUCACAUUGUGUGAAGAGGCGCACCAUGAGCGUACACGCUGGGACCCGAAAGAUGGUGAACUAUGC
This 690-nucleotide ribosomal RNA is filed under the name Hypocryphalus ovalicollis. RNAcentral describes it as "eukaryotic LSU rRNA". It matches the Rfam family "Eukaryotic large subunit ribosomal RNA", at positions 401 to 836 of the family's 3401-position model. Lineage: Eukaryota; Metazoa; Arthropoda; Insecta; Coleoptera; Curculionidae. The record is from RNAcentral.